UCGUAGGCGGCUGAGUAAGUCGGUGUUAAAUCCCCAGGCUCAACCUGGGACACCACCCGAUACUGCUCUGGCUAGAGUCCGGUAGGGGAGCGUGGAAUUCCUGGUGUAGCGGUGAAAUGCGCAGAUAUCAGGAGGAACACCAGCGGCGAAGGCGGCGCUCUGGGCCGGAACUGACGCUGAGGAGCGAAAAGCGUGGGUAGCAAACAGGAUUAGAUACCCUGGUAGUCCACGCCGUAAACGUUGGGCACUAGGUGUGGGGUCUAUUCAACGGACUCCGUGCCGUAGCUAACGCAUUAAGUGCCCCGCCUGGGGAGUACGGCCGCAAGGCUAAAACUCAAAGGAAUUGACGGGGGCCCGCACAAGCAGCGGAGCAUGUUGCUUAAUUCGAGGCAACGCGAAGAACCUUACCUGGGUUUGACAUGUAGAGAAAAGCCAUAGAGAUAUGGUGUCCUUCGGGGUUCUACACAGGUG
This 471-nucleotide ribosomal RNA is filed under the name uncultured bacterium. RNAcentral's name for it is "bacterial SSU rRNA". It matches the Rfam family "Bacterial small subunit ribosomal RNA", at positions 569 to 1040 of the family's 1533-position model. The record is from RNAcentral.